RNAcentral lists this ribosomal RNA (494 nucleotides) under uncultured bacterium. RNAcentral describes it as "partial 16S ribosomal RNA". It matches the Rfam family "Bacterial small subunit ribosomal RNA", at positions 28 to 507 of the family's 1533-position model. The record is from RNAcentral.
GACGAACGCUGGCGGCGUGCUUAACACAUGCAAGUCGAACGGAAAGGCCUGCUUUCCCUUGUGGUUUGCGGGUACUCGAGUGGCGAACGGGUGAGUAACACGUGAGUGAUCUGCCCCCAACUUGGGUAUAAGCCUGGGAAACUGGGUCUAAUUCCCGAUAGGACUGCAGGGUGGUGCCUGUGGUGGAAAACGAUUUUCUAGUGGUUGGGGAUGAGCUCGCGGCCUAUCAGCUUGUUGGUGGGGUAAUGGCCUACCAAGGCGGCGACGGGUAGCCGGCCUGAGAGGGUGGACGGCCACAUUGGGACUGAGACACGGCCCAGACUCGUACGGGAGGCAGCAGUGGGGAAUAUUGCAGAAUGGGCGGAAGCCUGAUGCAGCGACGCCGCGUGGGGGAUGACGGGCUUCGGGUUGUAAACUCCUUUCGACCGCGAGGAAGCCACCUGGUUGGAAGGGUGGUGACGGUAGUGGUAGAAGAAGCACCGGCUAACUACGUG